CCUACGGGUGGCAGCAGUGGGGGAUAUUGCACAAUGGGGGGAACCCUGAUGCAGCGACGCCGCGUGGGUGAAGGAGUGCUUCGGCAUGUAAAGCCCUAUCGGCAGGGAAGAAGCAAGACGGUACCUGACUAAGAAGCCCCGGCUAACUACGUGCCAGCAGCCGCGGUAAUACGUAGGGGGCGAGCGUUAUCCGGAUUUAUUGGGUUUAAAGGGUGCGUAGGCGGAAUGCCAAGUCAGCGGUAAAAUCGCGGGGCUCAACCUCGCUCCGCCGUUGAAACUGGCGUUCUUGAGUGGGCGAGAAGUAUGCGGAAUGCGUGGUGUAGCGGUGAAAUGCAUAGAUAUCACGCAGAACUCCGAUUGCGAAGGCAGCAUACCGGCGCCCAACUGACGCUGAAGCACGAAAGCGUGGGUAUCGAACAGGAUUAGAUACCCGUGUAGUC
This 440-nucleotide ribosomal RNA is filed under the name uncultured bacterium. RNAcentral describes it as "partial 16S ribosomal RNA". It matches the Rfam family "Bacterial small subunit ribosomal RNA", at positions 338 to 795 of the family's 1533-position model. The record is from RNAcentral.